Molecule: ribosomal RNA, 333 nt
Filed under: uncultured bacterium
Lineage: Bacteria
Description: bacterial SSU rRNA
Rfam family: Bacterial small subunit ribosomal RNA
Source: RNAcentral
CGCGUAGGCGGGGAACUAAGUGAGAAGUGAAAGGCUCAGGCUCAGCCUGAUGCAGUGCUUCUCAUACUGGUUCUCUUGAGGGCGGUAGAGAGAAGUGGAAUGGCUGGUGUAGCGGUGAAAUGCGUAGAUAUCAGUCGGAACACCGGUGGCGAAGGCGGCUUCUUGGGCCGUUUCUGACGCUGAGGCGCGAAAGCCAGGGGAGCGAACGGGAUUAGAUACCCCGGUAGUCCUGGCCGUAAACGAUGGAUACUAGGUGUUGGGGGUAUCGACCCCUCCAGUGCCGCAGCUAACGCAAUAAGUAUCCCGCCUGGGGAGUACGGCCGCAAGGUUGAA